CUGUGAGGGUCUGCGGCUUCAUUCUUCAAGUCAGUGAGACCAAGAACCCACCAAUUCCGGACACACUACUGUUGCAGAAGUGUGUCCUUGUCAAGCAUUUACAGACAAGAGUGGAGAAAAAUGGAAACUCAUCAAACAAGUGAUAUAAGUAGAGAAGUCUGGCACAUUGAUGUUAUCACCAGAUAUGGCUUCAUAGGAGGGAACAGUGCACAUUGAAGUUGACAGCCACCGCAGCCACUGCAGGGCCCAGCCGUACCCUUAGGAAAGGAGCUCUUUCUGAUAUAAACGCUAUGCAAGGACACACAUUCCAGAGACACG
This is a long non-coding RNA of Homo sapiens (human), 318 nucleotides long. RefSeq lists it as uncharacterized. NCBI's taxonomy places the organism in Eukaryota, Metazoa, Chordata, Mammalia, Primates, Hominidae. The transcript has 3 exons. The record is from RefSeq and is a predicted model, not a curated record.